CCAUAUUGUUAUAAAAGAAAGCACUUUUACCUCGAAAACAGUAAGGGACCAAAGAGCUUUGCAUCUUGAGAGGUCGAUUUGGGAAGCUUAAUCCACUGCUGGGAGCUGGCGAUCAACUUAAAACUUGUGCCAUACGCGCGUGAUAGAAACAGAAAACCGUUACCUUGAAGAAGGCAUGGAAUUUAUUUCAUUUUUCAUGUUCAUAGCCUGGAAUGCAUUAUUGACUAACUUCACUUUUGGAAAAGAGCGAGAUCGCACAAUGCUGUUUCCAGAUUACUUCUUCUUUGCUAAAAGACGUUUGAUGAACCAUAAAAUCGAAACUAAAUACGUCAAAGACUUGGAUCACUGUGAGCUUUUCUGCUACAUGAACGACAACUGCGUCAGUGCUAACUUCAAAAAAGAGCCAGAGACUGGAGGAAUCGCUUAUAUCUGUGAACUGAAUAACGCCACUCAUCUUGAAAAU
Pocillopora verrucosa is the source of this 463-nucleotide non-coding RNA. Lineage: Eukaryota; Metazoa; Cnidaria; Anthozoa; Scleractinia; Pocilloporidae. The record is from RefSeq and is a predicted model, not a curated record.